UGGGGAAUCUUGGGCAAUGGGCGCAAGCCUGACCCAGCCACGCCGCGUGGAGGAAGACACCCCUAUGGGGCGUAAACUCCUUUUAUAUGAGAAGAAGGUCUCGUUCUUCGAGAUUUGACGGUAUCAUAUGAAUAAGCACCGGCUAACUCCGUGCCAGCAGCCGCGGUAAUACGGAGGGUGCAAGCGUUGUCCGGAUUCACUGGGUGUAAAGGGUGUGUAGGCGGGACAGUAAGUCAGAGGUGAAAGCCCACGGCUUAACCGUGGAACUGCCUUUGAUACUGCUGUUCUUGAGUCUCGGAGAGGUCGCCGGAAUUCGUGGUGUAGCGGUGAAAUGCGUAGAUAUCACGAGGAACACCAGAGGCGUAGGCGGGCGACUGGACGAGUACUGACGCUGAGGCACGAAAGCGUGGGGAGCAAACAGGAUUAGAUACCCCCGUAGUCC
Molecule: ribosomal RNA, 442 nt
Filed under: uncultured prokaryote
Description: bacterial SSU rRNA
Rfam family: Bacterial small subunit ribosomal RNA
Source: RNAcentral